Molecule: ribosomal RNA, 393 nt
Filed under: uncultured bacterium
Lineage: Bacteria
Description: partial 16S ribosomal RNA
Rfam family: Bacterial small subunit ribosomal RNA
Source: RNAcentral
AUACGGAGGAUGCAAGCGUUAUCCGGAUUUAUUGGGUUUAAAGGGAGCGUAGGUGGGAUAUUAAGUCAGCUGUGAAAGUUUGGGGCUCAACCUUAAAAUUGCAGUUGAUACUGGUUUCCUUGAGUACGGUAUAGGUGGGCGGAAUUCGUGGUGUAGCGGUGAAAUGCUUAGAUAUCACGAAGAACUCCGAUCGCGAAGGCAGCUCACCGGGCCGGAACUGACACUGAUGCUCGAAAGUGCGGGUAUCAAACAGGAUUAGAUACCCUGGUAGUCCGCACAGUAAACGAUGAAUACUCGCUGUUUGCGAUACACUGUAAGCGGCCAAGCGAAAGCGUUAAGUAUUCCACCUGGGGAGUACGCCGACAACGGUGAAACUCAAAUGAAUUGGCGGGG